AGUUGUAAGGAAGGCACGCUGAUAUUUAAAGUAAGUAGAUUUGGUGCUGGCUACUAUAUAGGUUGUGAUCAACAUCCGAGCUGCAAGCAUACACGCAAACUGUGAAUUUAUCAACAUCUUCGUAUUAUGUACCUAGUAAUAGUUCCAUCAGUUACCUCAAUUAUGGUGCUGCAGUUAGUGAGAUUGGUGUCCUAGGAUGCACGAGGAGUCCGAUUGUUCAAUUAAAUGCGAGAUGAAGAAGAUUGUGAUAAGGAUAUGGUAGAAGCUUGUGAUCACGAAGAUGUUGCUUCUGGUUGUCCUGAAGAUGUGGAAGAAGGUUGUCCUGAAGAUGUGGAAGAAGAACAAGGAGAUGAUCAAGAAGAAUAUUAAGAAGUUGUGUUUUAUAUUAUCUAGCUAGCUAGUUGUUAUUUUGGGAUGACUGUUUGAGAGAAACUUGUGUUUAAUUUAGCUCUUGUUUUGAAUCCCAUGGUUGUUUUGAAUUUGGGAUGACAUCAAAACUUAGUAUCCAACUAU
Molecule: long non-coding RNA, 513 nt
Organism: Vicia villosa (hairy vetch)
Lineage: Eukaryota; Viridiplantae; Streptophyta; Magnoliopsida; Fabales; Fabaceae
Exons: 4
Source: RefSeq, a predicted model, not a curated record